Molecule: ribosomal RNA, 234 nt
Filed under: Laccaria proxima
Lineage: Eukaryota; Fungi; Basidiomycota; Agaricomycetes; Agaricales; Hydnangiaceae
Description: partial 28S ribosomal RNA
Rfam family: Eukaryotic large subunit ribosomal RNA (bases 96-234)
Source: RNAcentral
CUAUUGGUGUGAUAAUUAUCUACGCCGUGGAUGUGAAGCAGCUUUAUGAAGUUCAGCUUCUAACCGUCCAUUUAUUUGGACAAUUUUUGACAAUUUGACCUCAAAUCAGGUAGGACUACCCGCUGAACUUAAGCAUAUCAAUAAGCGGAGGAAAAGAAACUAACAAGGAUUCCCCUAGUAACUGCGAGUGAAGCGGGAAAAGUCAAUUUAAAUCUGGCAUCUGGGCUCCAGUGG